GCGAAGGCAUUAUGAGGCCUUGCAUCCACAGUAGGUUGCGACCGUUGGGCCUUCGUAUCUAGCCUCUUGUUCUUAUUUGCACGCUCAAACGUUUACAAAAAGGAAACUAUCGAUGGCUUGGCUACCAGCAGUUGUUUCAUUGUCCAAAAUUAUCCACAUGUUUCAAUAUCAGGAAAUAUUUUUGCAGUAUUCUCCAUGGAUGUAACUUGGACUGGGUUGAUGUAGUUGAGUCCCCUUCUCGUCUCUCUCAAAACCUAUAUGGGCCAAAUAUAAAGAUGGGCCAGGCUUGGAUCAAAAAGUGUCGCUUGGUUCAUCUGAUUCUUAAGCAAUCUUCUCAAAUUUGAUUCCAAUUUUAUUUAGUAAUUAUUAGUCUUCCAACCCAAACUUUACGGUCCCACAAGCUUACAUCGAUUUGAGCAUAAUUCUCUCUCCCCCUUCUCCC
This 442-nucleotide long non-coding RNA is filed under the name Phoenix dactylifera (date palm). Its description in RNAcentral is "long non-coding RNA (PDAC_LNC004758)". The record is from RNAcentral. Lineage: Eukaryota; Viridiplantae; Streptophyta; Magnoliopsida; Arecales; Arecaceae.